CCUACGGGAGGCAGCAGUGAGGAAUAUUGGUCAAUGGACGGAAGUCUGAACCAGCCAUGCCGCGUGCAGGAAGACGGCUCUAUGAGUUGUAAACUGCUUUUGUACAAGGGUAAACCUGAAUACGUGUAUUCAGCUGAAAGUACUGUACGAAUAAGGAUCGGCUAACUCCGUGCCAGCAGCCGCGGUAAUACGGUGGAUCCAAGCGUUAUCCGGAUUUAUUGGGUUUAAAGGGUGCGUAGGCGGAUUGAUAAGUUAGAGGUGAAAUGUCCGAGCUUAACUCGGGAACGGCCUCUAAUACUGUUGGUCUAGAGAGUAGAUGCGGUAGGCGGAAUGUAUGGUGUAGCGGUGAAAUGCUUAGAGAUCAUACAGAACACCGAUGGCGAAGGCAGCUUACCAAUCUAUAUCUGACGUUGAGGCACGAAAGCGUGGGGAGCAAACAGGAUUAGAUACCCUGGUAGUC
Molecule: ribosomal RNA, 460 nt
Filed under: uncultured bacterium
Lineage: Bacteria
Description: partial 16S ribosomal RNA
Rfam family: Bacterial small subunit ribosomal RNA
Source: RNAcentral